AAUCUUCCGCAAUGGACGAAAGUCUGACGGAGCGACGCCGCGUGGUGGAUGAAGUCCUUAGGGACGUAAACACCUUUUAUGAGGGAGGAAGUUUAUUGACGUUACCUCAUGAAUAAGGGGCUCCCAAUUCUGUGCCAGCAGGAGCGGUAAUACAGAAGCCCCAAGCAUUACCCGGAUUCACUGGGCGUAAAGGGUGCGUGGGCGGUUAUAUUAGUCGGGUGUUAAAUCCUGGGGCUCAACCUCAGGCUCGCAUUCGAAACGGUAUAACUAGAAGGAGUGAGAGGUGUGUGGAACUCACGGUGUAGGAGUGAAAUCCGUUGAUAUCGUGGGGAACACCAAAUGCGAAGGCAGCACACUGGCACUUUCUUGACGCUGAGGCACGAAAGCGUGGGUAGCGAACGGG
This 403-nucleotide ribosomal RNA is filed under the name uncultured bacterium. RNAcentral's name for it is "bacterial SSU rRNA". It matches the Rfam family "Bacterial small subunit ribosomal RNA", at positions 360 to 776 of the family's 1533-position model. The record is from RNAcentral.